This 917-nucleotide ribosomal RNA is filed under the name uncultured archaeon. RNAcentral describes it as "SSU rRNA". It matches the Rfam family "Archaeal small subunit ribosomal RNA", at positions 1 to 923 of the family's 1478-position model. The record is from RNAcentral.
UUUCCGGUUGAUCCUGCCGGACCUGACUGCUAUCGGAUUGAUACUAAGCCAUGCGAGUCUUUGUAGUAAUACAAGGCAUACGGCUCAGUAACACGUAGUCAACCUACCCUAUGGACGAGAAUAAUCUCGGGAAACUGAGCAUAAUUCUUGAUAGAUCAUAAUGCCUGGAAUGGUUUAUGGUUAAAAUGAUUCGUCGCCAUAGGAUGGGACUGCGGCCUAUCAGCUUGUUGGUGAGGUAAUGGCCCACCAAGGCGAUUACAGGUACGGGCUCUGAGAGGAGAAGCCCGGAGAUGGGUACUGAGACACGGACCCAGGCCCUAUGGGGCGCAGCAGGCGAGAAAACUUUGCAAUGUGCGAAAGCACGACAAGGUUAAUCCGAGUGAUUUCUGCUAAAGAAAUCUUUUGCCAGUCAUAAAACCACUGGUGAAUAAGGGGUGGGCAAGUUCUGGUGUCAGCCGCCGCGGUAAAACCAGCACCUCAAGUGGUCAGGAUGAUUAUUGGGCCUAAAGCAUCCGUAGCCGGCUUUGUUAGUUUUCGGUUAAAUCCAUGUGCUCAACGCAUGGGCUGCCGAAAAUACUGCAUAGCUAGGGAGUGGGAGAGGUAGACGGUACUCAGUAGGAAGGGGUAAAAUCCUUUGAUCUAUUGAUGACCACCUGUGGCGAAGGCGGUCUACCAGAACACGUUCGACGGUGAGGGAUGAAAGCUGGGGGAGCAAACCGGAUUAGAUACCCGGGUAGUCCCAGCUGUAAACGAUGCAGACUCGAUGAUGCAUUGGCAUAAUAGCCAGUGCAGUGUCGCAGGGAAGCCGUUAAGUCUGCCGCCUGGGAAGUACGUACGCAAGUAUGAAACUUAAAGGAAUUGGCGGGGGAGCACCACAAGGGGUGAAGCCUGCGGUUCAAUUGGAGUCAACGCCGGGA